AAGUACUGUAGCAGAUCUUUGAGUUUCAAUGCACCUUGGUUGGUGUUGGCAACAAACAGGAGCUUCUGCACAUCAUGAUGACUUUACCUCCAUUCCCUCUACCCAGAACCCUAAAUUAUUCUGUUAUUGGAUCUGUGCCUGUAAUAUCAGGAUACUACCAUCCAAAUCUAUCUAGAUAUCUUGUGCAAAUAUUUUAUUGAUUACAAGGGCUGUAUACGGGGUUACAAAAAGACAUGAGCUGGAUUGGACACUCCUAAAACCAAAAACAACAGUGACAAUAGAGUCUCAGGAUAGCAGAGUCUGAAAAUACCUUGGUCUCCCCCAUUAUGUGAGCCCUUACUUGAGAGCUUCAUGAAGACACUUGUAACAUAUUCAACGUCCUGUACUCCAGUUUUGACUACGAGAUCAGAUUUUGGAGGUGAGAGGACAUGAUGUGCGCCCAUCCUCCCUUGCUUCCAGAUUGUUUUAGUGGGCCCUGAUGGUCAUUUUUCUAAACAGAGGCCCUGCUUUGUAAUAUGUGGCCAAGGAGAUAAUUUAUCUCACAGAAGCACCGGGAAGACUUAGCCUUAAAGAGCCUACAGUGUCCUUUUGGACUCUUUCACUUCGGGACAUUUAAUAAUGGACCAAAUUCAACAGAACACCAGGAAGGUCAAGACGCUCUCCAAAGGGCAGGAAGUACAGCACUUCCGAAGAGUUUAGUUGGCCCUUUGCUGGUUGGGCUGAGUUUUUUAUUUUUAAGUGUUUGUUUUUCAGUGCAAUAAUUUUUGUGUGUGUGUGAUUCUUAUCAGAAAGUUGAAUUGUUUUCUGCCUACACCGUUCAUCAGCCCCAUAACCCAGGAAGGAACAGGCAUUGUUAGCAUCAGAUUAUACCUCAUUAUUAAAAGGAGGCAUGGCCACACAUGAAG
RNAcentral lists this long non-coding RNA (905 nucleotides) under Homo sapiens (human). Its description in RNAcentral is "non-protein coding lnc-STRAP-5:1". The record is from RNAcentral. Lineage: Eukaryota; Metazoa; Chordata; Mammalia; Primates; Hominidae.